AGUGAACGCUGGCGGUAGGCCUAACACAUGCAAGUCGAACGGCAGCACAGUAAGAGCUUGCUCUUACGGGUGGCGAGUGGCGGACGGGUGAGGAAUACAUCGGAAUCUACUUUUUCGUGGGGGAUAACGUAGGGAAACUUACGCUAAUACCGCAUACGACCUACGGGUGAAAGCAGGGGAUCUUCGGACCUUGCGCGAUUGAAUGAGCCGAUGUCGGAUUAGCUAGUUGGCGGGGUAAAGGCCCACCAAGGCGACGAUCCGUGGCUGGUCUGAGAGGAUGAUCAGCCACACUGGAACUGAGACACGGUCCAGACUCCUACGGGAGGCAGCAGUGGGGAAUAUUGGACAAUGGGCGCAAGCCUGAUCCAGCCAUACCGCGUGGGUGAAGAAGGCCUUCGGGUUGUAAAGCCCUUUUGUUGGGAAAGAAAAGCAGCAGGUUAAUACCCCGCUGUUCUGACGGUACCCAAAGAAUAAGCACCGGCUAACUUCAUG
RNAcentral lists this ribosomal RNA (492 nucleotides) under uncultured bacterium. Its description in RNAcentral is "partial 16S ribosomal RNA". It matches the Rfam family "Bacterial small subunit ribosomal RNA", at positions 29 to 507 of the family's 1533-position model. The record is from RNAcentral.